This 427-nucleotide ribosomal RNA is filed under the name Teyl sp. MYG358. RNAcentral's name for it is "partial 16S ribosomal RNA". It matches the Rfam family "Archaeal large subunit ribosomal RNA", at positions 1926 to 2666 of the family's 2987-position model. Lineage: Eukaryota; Metazoa; Arthropoda; Arachnida; Araneae; Anamidae. The record is from RNAcentral.
UGAAAGCUUUAAUUUUCAGUACCCCCUGCUCAAUGAAACUUUAAAUAGCCGCAGUCACCUGUGCUAAGGUAGCAUAAUCAUUUGCCUAAUAAUUAUAGGAUAGAAUGAAAGGGAAAACAUGUGAAUUUCUUUAUUUAAAAAACAAUUUUAACUUACCUAAUAAGUAAAAACUCUUAUUUUGCUAGGAGGACGACAAGACCCUAUCAAACUUUACAUUUCAGUUUAGCUGGGGCGGCAAAAAAAAAUAAACCUUUAUAUAAGACUUAUUAAUAACCUUCCCUAAGAUAGAACAAGUUACUGUAGGGAUAACAGCAUAAUUUUUUCUUAGAGACCUUAUCCAAGAAAAAGAUUAUGACCUCGAUGUUGAAUUAAGUUUCUUCUAGAGGCAGAUUUCUAGAAAGAGAGUCUGUUCGACUUUUAAUUCCUU